Molecule: ribosomal RNA, 425 nt
Filed under: uncultured prokaryote
Description: bacterial SSU rRNA
Rfam family: Bacterial small subunit ribosomal RNA
Source: RNAcentral
AAACGAAUAUUGGGCAAAGGGCGAAAGCCUGACCCAGCAAUGCCGCGUGCAGGACGAAGUCCUUCGGGUUGUAAACUGCUGUCAGGGGUCCGCAAGCGAAGGGGUCCAACAGGCCCUGGAGUUGAGCAGCCCCAGAGGAAGCCUCGACUAACUCUGUGCCAGCAGUCGCGGUAAGACAGAGGAGGCAAGCGUUGUUCGGAAUCACUGGGCUUAAAGCGCGUGUAGGCGGCUUAGAAAGUGUCGUGUGAAAUCCCGCGGCUCAACCGCGGAACUGCACGGCAAAAUAAGUGGCUUGAGGUCGGUAGAGGUGCCUGGAGCUCUAGGUGUAGCGGUGAAAUGCGUAGAUAUCUAGAGGAACGCCAGAAGCGAAAGCGGGGCACUGGGCCGAGUCUGACGCUGAGACGCGAAAGCGUGGGGAGCAAACA